AACUUUCGGCAAUGGAUCUCUUGGUUCUGGCAUCGAGGAAGAACGCAGCGAAAUGCGAUAAGUAAUGUGAAUUGCAGAAUUUAGUGAAUCAUCGAAUCUUUGAACGCACAUUGCGCCCCUUGGUAUUCCGAGGGGCAUGCCUGUUCGAGCGUCAUUACAACCCUCAAGCAUUGCUUGGUAUUGGGCCCCGCUGCUCACUCAGCGGGCCGUAAAAUCAGGGGCGGUGCCAUCGGGCCCUGAGCGUUGUCAAUAUCCUCUCUAUAGGGACCCGGUGGACGCUAGCCAUCAACCCUCAACUUUCUAAGUUUGACCUCGGAUCAGGUAGGGAUACCCGCUGAACUUAAGCAUAUCAAUAAGCGGAGGCU
This 365-nucleotide unclassified non-coding RNA is filed under the name uncultured Helotiales. RNAcentral's name for it is "sequence contains ITS2". The stretch from base 1 to 154 matches the Rfam family "5.8S ribosomal RNA". Lineage: Eukaryota; Fungi; Ascomycota; Leotiomycetes; Helotiales. The record is from RNAcentral.